GUGGGGAAUAUUGGACAAUGGGGGGAACCCUGAUCCAGCCAUGCCGCGUGUGUGAAGAAGGCCUUUUGGUUGUAAAGCACUUUAAGCGAGGAGGAGGCUACUGAGAUUAAUACUCUUGGAUAGUGGACGUUACUCGCAGAAUAAGCACCGGCUAACUCUGUGCCAGCAGCCGCGGUAAUACAGAGGGUGCAAGCGUUAAUCGGAUUUACUGGGCGUAAAGCGCGCGUAGGUGGCCAAUUAAGUCAAAUGUGAAAUCCCCGAGCUUAACUUGGGAAUUGCAUUCGAUACUGGUUGGCUAGAGUAUGGGAGAGGAUGGUAGAAUUCCAGGUGUAGCGGUGAAAUGCGUAGAGAUCUGGAGGAAUACCGAUGGCGAAGGCAGCCAUCUGGCCUAAUACUGACACUGAGGUGCGAAAGCAUGGGGAGCAAACAGGAUUAGAUACCCUUGUAGUCC
This 451-nucleotide ribosomal RNA is filed under the name uncultured bacterium. RNAcentral's name for it is "partial 16S ribosomal RNA". It matches the Rfam family "Bacterial small subunit ribosomal RNA", at positions 354 to 796 of the family's 1533-position model. The record is from RNAcentral.